GACGAACGCUGGCGGCGUGCUUAACACAUGCAAGUCGAACGCUGAAGCACCAGCUUGCUGGUGUGGAUGAGUGGCGAACGGGUGAGUAAUACGUGAGUAACCUGCCCUUGACUCUGGGAUAAGCUCGGGAAACUGGGUCUAAUACUGGAUGCUACAUGUCACCGCAUGGUGGUGUGUGGAAAGGGUUUACUGGUCUUGGAUGGGCUCACGGGCUAUCAGCUUGUUGGUGAGGUAAUGGCUCACCAAGGCGACGACGGGCAGCCGGCCUGAGAGGGUGACCGGCCACACUGGGACUGAGACACGGCCCAGACUCCUACGGGAGGCAGCAGUGGGGAAUAUUGCACAAUGGGCGAAAGCCUGAUGCAGCGACGCCGCGUGAGGGAUGACGGCCUUCGGGUUGUAGACCUCUUUCAGCAGGGAAGAAGCCACAAGUGACGGUACCUGCAGAAGAAGCGCCGGCUAACUACGUG
This 470-nucleotide ribosomal RNA is filed under the name uncultured bacterium. RNAcentral describes it as "partial 16S ribosomal RNA". It matches the Rfam family "Bacterial small subunit ribosomal RNA", at positions 28 to 507 of the family's 1533-position model. The record is from RNAcentral.